This 957-nucleotide ribosomal RNA is filed under the name Triticum aestivum (bread wheat). RNAcentral describes it as "partial small subunit ribosomal RNA". The record is from RNAcentral. Lineage: Eukaryota; Viridiplantae; Streptophyta; Magnoliopsida; Poales; Poaceae.
AUGGCGAGGAAGGAGGCAUGGAGGAGGAGCGGCUUGGUGAGGCAAUACACCAGGUCCAGCGUGCCGAGGAUGAGGUGGACGGCCGAGCUCGAGAGCAGCUUCAUGGGAGCCGUCGAGCGCCUCGGCGGCCGAGACAGCGCCAAGGUGACUCCGAAGCGCAUUCUUGAGCUGAUGGAUGUCCCAGGGCUCACCAUAUCCCACGUCAAGAGCCACCUUCAGAUGUACAGAUGCACACCGCAUGGCAAUGGAAAGAAAGGUGACGGAGGUGCCAAAAAUCCCUCUGCCUUUCUUCCUGAGACGCAGCCACAACUUGGCCUCGAGAAUCAUCCGUUUGCCACCGACGAGCGAGGCUCCGAAGGACUCACAUUCCUACCCAUGAAAAGGGCCAAGGCAGGGACAGAGGUUGCAGCCUCAUGCAAGAGCAUGCAAGGGAACAGUGGUAUGAGGAUGGUGAUGAUUCCUGGCAACCGGUGCUGCAUUGAUGAUUACGUGCAACUGCAAGCAAGGUCGUUCAUGGACAGGAUGAGGACCGUAAACGAGGGCCUCCGACGGCACAGCGCUGCUGCUGCAAGCCUCCAGGAAUUACGACCUUGGGUGGAAGGCCCAGAGGCCUCUAAGUCUAAGGAAAGCAAGCCGGAAGCAGUCCGUCGUCUGAACCAUACGGCGAGGCAGUUAUCUUCCAUCGAGAGCUAUGAGCGUGGGUGCUUCCUAUUCGGCAGUGCAACGAGCGGAGAAUAUGAGCCGGCGGCUUACUUGGGGGCCAGCGGAUGCUCGCCGUCGCCAUGGUUCGCCGGGGAGCAGAGAGCCGUGAAAGAUGUCUCUUCCUGGCCCAGCCAGAGCAGCUGUGCGCUCUCGCCGUCUUCGAGGAGCUUCAGCGACUGCUCGGGGCCUCCGGGCUGCAGCUUUUCUGGGCAGGGGAUUAACCUGGAACUUUCCCUGUCGAUACCUGGAUUGUAG